RNAcentral lists this small RNA (126 nucleotides) under Marmota monax (woodchuck). The record is from RNAcentral. Lineage: Eukaryota; Metazoa; Chordata; Mammalia; Rodentia; Sciuridae.
GCUGGGCGCAGUGGUGCACGCCUGUAAUCCCAGCAGCUAGGGAGGCUGAGGCAGGAGGAUCGCCAAGCUCAAAGCCAGCCUCAGCAAAAGCCAGGCGUUAAGCAACUCAGUGAGAUCCUGUCUCUA